AGUCGAACGGUAACAUGAGAGCUUGCUCUUGAUGACGAGUGGCGCACGGGUGCGUAACGCGUAUGCAACCUACCCUUUACUGGAGGAUAGCCCGGAGAAAUUCGGAUUAAUACUCCAUAGUUCCUAAAGACUUCAUGGUUUAUAGGACAAAGAUUUAUUGGUAAAGGAUGGGCAUGCGUGACAUUAGUUAGUUGGUGAGGUAACGGCUCACCAAGACGAUGAUGUCUAGGGGUUCUGAGAGGAUGAUCCCCCACACUGGUACUGAGACACGGACCAGACUCCUACGGGAGGCAGCAGUAGGGAAUAUUGGUCAAUGGGCGAGAGCCUGAACCAGCCAUGCCGCGUGUAGGAAGACGGCCUUCUGGGUUGUAAACUACUUUUAUAUAGGAACAAAUAGACCAUGCGUGGUAAGUUGAGUGUACUAUAUGAAUAAGCACCGGCUAACUCCGUGCCAGCAGCCGCGGUAAUACGGAGGGUGCAAGCGUUGUCCGGAUUUAUUGGGUUUAAAGGGUGCGUAGGUGGCGUGUUAAGUCAGUGGUGAAAGCCUGCAGCUCAACUGUAGAGGUGCCAUUGAUACUGACAUGCUUGAGUAUGGAUGAGGUAGGCGGAAUUUGUGGUGUAGCGGUGAAAUGCAUAGAUACCACAAAGAACACCGAUAGCGAAGGCAGCUUACUGGACCAUAACUGACACUAAGGCACGAAAGUGUGGGUAGCGAACAGGAUUAGAUACCCUGGUAGUCCACACCGUAAACGAUGCUCACUCGAUGUAUGCGAUACACUGUAUGCGUCCAAGCGAAAGCGUUAAGUGAG
This 809-nucleotide ribosomal RNA is filed under the name uncultured Sphingobacterium sp. Its description in RNAcentral is "bacterial SSU rRNA". It matches the Rfam family "Bacterial small subunit ribosomal RNA", at positions 60 to 868 of the family's 1533-position model. The record is from RNAcentral. Lineage: Bacteria; Pseudomonadati; Bacteroidota; Sphingobacteriia; Sphingobacteriales; Sphingobacteriaceae.